UACGGAGGAUGCAAGCGUUAUCCGGAAUGAUUGGGCGUAAAGCGUCCGCAGGUGGCUGUGUAAGUCUGCUGUCAAAGAGCGAAGCUCAACUUCGUAAAGGCAGUGGAAACUACACGGCUAGAGUGCGUUCGGGGCAGAGGGAAUUCCUGGUGUAGCAGUGAAAUGCGUAGAUAUCGUGAGGAAGACCAGUUGCGAAGGCGGAUCUCUGGGCAGUUCCUGACACUGAGGCACGAAGGCCAGGGGAGCAAACGGG
Molecule: ribosomal RNA, 253 nt
Filed under: uncultured bacterium
Lineage: Bacteria
Description: partial 16S ribosomal RNA
Rfam family: Bacterial small subunit ribosomal RNA
Source: RNAcentral